UCUUCGACAAUGACGAUGCUCUACCUCCGCCCUCUGAAUUAUGCAUAGCUACUCCUGUAUGUUCAAACCCUCAAGCAGCCAAGUAGUCUUCGAGUCUGUGGAGGACUGGAGGUGGCGGGUUUUGUUUGGUAAUCACAAAGUGACAUGGUGGCCAUUAUAAGCAAUAUGUCUCCAUGAGCAUUUAUUGGAUAUAGGUUGCAUGUCCACGGGAAAUGAACAUUUGUAAAUGACAUUCUGUUUAUUUGACUCUCUGCAUUAACAUUUGUCAGUUUU
Molecule: long non-coding RNA, 273 nt
Filed under: Linum usitatissimum (flax)
Lineage: Eukaryota; Viridiplantae; Streptophyta; Magnoliopsida; Malpighiales; Linaceae
Description: long non-coding RNA (LUSI_LNC000735)
Source: RNAcentral